This 441-nucleotide ribosomal RNA is filed under the name uncultured bacterium. RNAcentral's name for it is "partial 16S ribosomal RNA". It matches the Rfam family "Bacterial small subunit ribosomal RNA", at positions 338 to 795 of the family's 1533-position model. The record is from RNAcentral.
CCUACGGGAGGCAGCAGUGGGGGAUAUUGCACAAUGGGGGGAACCCUGAUGCAGCGACGCCGCGUGGGUGAAGGAGUGCUUCGGCAUGUUAAGCCCUAUCGGCAGGGAAGAAGCAAGACGGUACCUGACUAAGAAGCCCCGGCUAACUACGUGCCAGCAGCCGCGGUACUACGUAGGGGGCGAGCGUUAUCCGGAUUCACUGGGUGUAAAGGGAGCGUAGACGGGCAUGCAAGCCAGGGGUGAAAGCCCGGGGCCCAACCCCGGGACUGCCCUUGGAACUGCAUGGCUGGAGUGCGGGAGGGGCAGGCGGAAUUCCUGGUGUAGCGGUGAAAUGCGUAGAUAUCAGGAGGAACACCGGCGGCGAAGGCGGCCUGCUGGACCGCGACUGACGUUGAGGCUCGAAAGCGUGGGGAGCGAACAGGAUUAGAUACCCUGGUAGUC